GACAGAGGUGCCGAGCGUUAGGCGGAAUCACUGGGCGUAAAGCGCGUGUAGGCGGCACGGCAAGUCGGAUGUGAAAUCCCAUAGCUCAACCGUGGAAGUGCACCCGAAACUGCCGAGCUCGAGUCUCGGAGAGGAAGGUGGAAUGCUUGGUGUAGAGGUGAAAUUCGUAGAUAUCAAGCGGAACACCGGUGGCGAAGGCGGCCUUCUGGACGAUGACUGACGCUGAGACGCGAAAGCGUGGGGAGCAAACAGG
RNAcentral lists this ribosomal RNA (253 nucleotides) under uncultured bacterium. RNAcentral's name for it is "partial 16S ribosomal RNA". It matches the Rfam family "Bacterial small subunit ribosomal RNA", at positions 524 to 776 of the family's 1533-position model. The record is from RNAcentral.